RNAcentral lists this ribosomal RNA (248 nucleotides) under uncultured bacterium. RNAcentral describes it as "partial 16S ribosomal RNA". It matches the Rfam family "Bacterial small subunit ribosomal RNA", at positions 1254 to 1500 of the family's 1533-position model. The record is from RNAcentral.
AGGGCGACCUGGAGCAAAUCCCAAAAAUAAACGUCCCAGUUCGGACUGCAGUCUGCAACUCGACUGCACGAAGCUGGAAUCGCUAGUAAUCGCGAAUCAGAAUGUCGCGGUGAAUACGUUCCCGGGCCUUGUACACACCGCCCGUCACACCAUGAGAGUCGAUAACACCCGAAGCCUGUGAGCUAACCGUAAGGAGGCAGCAGUCGAAGGUGGGGUUGAUGAUUGGGGUGAAGUCGUAACAAGGUAAC